This 378-nucleotide non-coding RNA is filed under the name Bacillus mycoides. Its description in RNAcentral is "Intron_gpI". It matches the Rfam family "Group I catalytic intron". Rfam says of the family: Group I catalytic introns are large self-splicing ribozymes. They catalyse their own excision from mRNA, tRNA and rRNA precursors in a wide range of organisms. RNAcentral also lists the same sequence under 1 other name. Lineage: Bacteria; Bacillati; Bacillota; Bacilli; Caryophanales; Bacillaceae. The record is from RNAcentral.
GAAGAUUCGUUUUCGUAUGCGAAUCAGUUGGGUUAACUUUAUGGCUCAACUAUAAAACCAGGUCAAUUGCUGGAACGCCUGAGUAUAUCAAGGUAGGAUACUACGAAGAAAUUACGUAGCGAACCCUGAAAAUCCAAGAUUGCAGGAAAUCAGCAGCCGAGCUCCUAAAUUUAUUAGAUAAGGAGAAGGUUCAACGACCAAGUGGCUAUGUAGGUGACUAAGUAGCUCGAACCUGGCUUCUCAAAACAAACAAAUUCAAAGGGUGUAUACAUUUAUUAUAGUUUAUGCCAUAUUCAUGUGCAUCAAACAUAUGAUAAAUGGUUAAAUGAAGAAUUUGGCGAGAAGAAGAUAUGGUCUGAACUCUAUAGCGAUAUAGAG